Molecule: long non-coding RNA, 4568 nt
Organism: Lactuca sativa (garden lettuce)
Lineage: Eukaryota; Viridiplantae; Streptophyta; Magnoliopsida; Asterales; Asteraceae
Source: RefSeq, a predicted model, not a curated record
CAUCAAGAACCCCAAUAGUAAAACACAGUUGGCCCUACUCCCUAUCUUCAUUCUCUCUCUAUAGCUCUACCCUCCACAACCCAUUUCAUUAGAAAAACAUGAUUUGCCGGAGUUCUACCAGUCGGAUUUUCACAAAAUCACCUCCAAUCUUCUCCUUUCUUCUCCUAUACAAACCCGACUAAAAAUCCCCCGACCCGUGACUGGAGUUGCCAUCACCGGCCACCUCCGGCCGCCAUUUCCAAUUCUGAAACCGGAUUUGUGCUCUACUCACCUUCUUCUACGCGCCUUACUAUUUUUUUUUUCCGAAAACUCACCGGAUUUUUUUUAUUGAAAAACGAUCCGCCACCGGAAAUAUUAGCUUUUAACGGAGAACUCAUUGUACUGCACCUUUAAUCAAGACUCAAGCUUGGGGUUGUUUAUUUUAGAGCAUUUUUCAGAUUCUGAUCGACCCGAAAGUUCCCGAAUAUAGAAUUCCGAAUUCGAGCUCACAAUGGAUUUGGUAUAUUCUUUCAUUUUCAUGCUAUUAUCUUAAAUAUUUGUUUAAUUGUUCAAACACUUAGGAAUUCUGUAUAUCCUGUCUAUUACGUUGGUGAUUUGUGAUUGUUUGCCUUAGAUCAUAUAUUGGCUUGUUUUUGUUGGUAUAAAUCUCUUGUAGAAACCCUUUGCACAUGUCGACAUCAUGCAAGCGCCCCGCGUCUAACGCGAAAAAAGGGUUGAGAAAAGAACCUAGGGGCCAAAAUUAUCUAAUAAGCAACAUCGUGAACCCUAUCGUUCCCUUUCAGAAAGAAAGAUAAAACCAUCUAGAUCCAUUUUUCAUGACACAUACUUGUUAUUAGGGGUGUUGAAAACAUUGGUUGAGGAAACUUCCUAUUUCUCAAUGUCAAAACCUUUGAGCUCCCCACUCAUGAGUUCCUUGCUUCCAUGAGUCAUGAAAACGACUAGAAAACAUCCCAAUUUCAUAUUCUUGGCCAAUCAUUUGAGGCCUCCUUUAAAAGCAUGAACACCAUUAUGAUAACUUCUAGAUAGAUAGGGAACUCACUUUUGCACCAGGCCUUACCCACCCAAGUUUAAAGAGGGUGAAUUUUGGCAUGAUCUCAUGCGCUGGUAUUCUUUUACUUAGGGAUGAGAUAGAGUGAACAAUAUUACUUAUCCUUGUAUCCAGAUCGCUCAUCAAAUUUUGGUUUUCUCGAUCUUUGCUCGACAGGAGGUCAACCAAAUUAUAAAAACCGAUUGUUUUUCCUUUGGUGUAUGAACCAAAGGAAUGGCCCCCGGCCCGACUGCUCAUCCUAUUUCUUCCAGAAAUGAUUUGAGACCGGGGCAUGACCUACAUGUGAUAUCUAUAUCGGCGGCAUGGUCACCAUUUUAGAAAAUGGUCUUAACCACAACAUCACUUCUCCAUAUUACUCUCCAUUUUGAGGUUCUUGUUUGUUGGUCAUACCUUGUCUAACCAAGAUAUGGCAAAUCACUCCAUACCCUGCCAAUGAAUACUAUUGUAUCACCACCUAUUCGAACAAGAACUGUAUUAUUCCAACCAAUGAGAGGCUCGUAGAAUUUGACACUUUCGAUCGUGAGACGUUGCACAUGGAAGCACCUUUACAACACGAUUCCGACUCCGAUAAUGAACACGUAUCCAUGGAUGUCGAACCUUCAUCCUUACAUAUGCCCCAAUUUUCCCCCCUGAUUUUUUUUGAAAACUUCAACAAGCUUUGGCUUCAAAACCAGCAGAUGUGGGGCUAGCACAAUAGGGAGGAGAACUUUGAUCAACAUCCCCCUCCUUAUCUCGACUCUCCGAUAUAGGUUAUUUCUACCCUUACCUUGAGCAUUGAGGAUAAUGCUUGUUCUUAAGCUUGGGGUGGGGUAUUCCCUUUUCUUUUUACUUUUUCAUGCAUUGGUAGUUAGGUUGCAUAACAUAUUAGUUUUUAGCUAAUUGCAUUCUUAUAAAAAAAAAUCCAAAAAGAUUUUACUUUCUUCUUUUCUUUUUUUAAUUUAGCAAGACAUUUAAUUAGGACAUUAGCAUGCAUGCAUUUUUGUUGUCUGCUUUCUUCUCACCCCCAUUAGAUGUCAUGGAACAGGUUUAUAUUUAUUGUAUCAUUAUUGGUCCAGGAUCUUGUUUGUUAUCUCACACAUAGAACCGGGACCACUAGGUCGCAGUUUGGGACUUCAUACUUGGGAUCAACUACUAGAGCUUAAAGGGGUAAGUGAUCAUUGUCAGGGCAGUUUUCAUGAAGAGUUAUGCAUGCAAUACUAAUAACUAUAGGAUAUACAAUAGCAAUGAAUGUUUUUACCCUGAGGUCCAUGCCGCUGAGAAGAUCACACUCGAUCAUGUUUGAAUCAUUAGGAUGAAGCAUUGAUGCUUGUCCCCGAGUAGAAUCCUUAUCAGGUCUCUUUACAUCACCAUUUUUUUGCGAGUUUCUUAGGUUUUUAGAGUCUUUUAGUCUACAUUUAGACAUUUUCAUUAUAUGUUGAAAAUCAAAAUUUUGAAAAGGAACCUACAAAUUUAUGCUCCACACAUUGGUCAUUUUCACACUUAGACCAUUCAGAUCAGUAUCUUUCAGUUCCGCAUACAUAUUUUUGGAACCAAAUAUCGAGUCAAAAAGUGUUUUUUAGUAAAUUUUUCGCUAUGUUGCAACAUGAUGUUCAAGUAUUUAAAAAAAAAUUCAAAUCAGAAAAGAGAAGCUCAAAUAAGAAAUUUUAAGUUGCGGCUGUUUUAGAUGGGUGACGAGUACAAUUAUUGAACAAUAUUUCUUAUAUUUUGGUUACCCGACGAUUGAUAUUCAUGUAGAUAGGUAGAUUUUUUUGUAUAUAGAUCGAGUUUUUUUUGUUUGCAAAUUGGUGAUAUUAGGGAGUCUAUCAAGUCGAAUACUACAUGAGGUUCGGGCCAACACUAAGUUAGCCGAUUCUUACAACGAUGUCGAGCGAUGAAACCCAGUCACACAGGAGAGAAACUAUCACUCGUGAGAUCACACAACUUUCGUGAUAAGAGUGUACACGCAAAGAAGAGUUCCAUCCGAGACCACCCAUCUACUUUCUCCCUACUACAGAGGUUUUUUUAUUGUAUGCAUGUUUUAUUGGGGGCUGUGACUGACCUUCCUUCCUUACUCACCUGAAGGACUUGUUCUGGCUAUGGUUUAUGCUUCCAAUGUCAACCGGAUGAAAAGUUCUUGGGAUAAUAGCAAGAUCAACUCUGCUCAUAUUGACUAACUUUGAUAAGGUUCUAUGGUUCUGUCUGUUCUUUUUAUUUUUAGGAUAGUUCAUCCAAAGUUCAUUUUAGUUUUGUCUUACUUGAGGACAAGUAAGGUUUAAGCUUGGGAUGAUUUGGCAGUUUCAUUUUAUUUACUUUUUUUUAUAGUUUAUUUUAGCAUUUUUGUUUUAUUUUUAGUUAAUCUUCAUGCAUAUUUUUCCUUUUUGUUAUUUUAUUUCUAUAUUGGGUAUUUUAUAGUUUUUUGAGCUUUAUUACAGAUAUUUGGAGAAAUGGAAUGGAGUAUGGAAGAAGAUUCAAAAGACAAACAGAGUUCGAGCGCAUGAUUUGAAUUGUUGGAACAUAUUAAAGAGAGUUAGAUUAAAGAUUGAUGUCAUUCGAGUUUGCUUUGAAGAUUACAUGCAAGAAACAUGGGCCUUGGAUGAUUGGAAGAUGAAUAUUUAUGGAUUAUGGAUUAAUGUUUAUGGCUAUUUUAUUUGGACUUUUGAGGGUAAUAAGAUAAGAUGGACAUGUUUUGGAUUACUUAAAAUUGCAAUUGGGCUUCUAGGAUCAGUCAAAGAAGUCAAAGAAGACCAAAGAGGAAAAAGGGACAACAAAAGAAUUCUCAAUCAGCACAACCCAUGAGGCCACGUGAGUUUUUACACUGCAGCUCACGCGACCACGUGACUCCUUCGUGGGCAGUUUUGGGUUUUCAACUGUUAUGGCUAUUUGAAGGUAGUUUGGUGGGAGCUUUUGGGGCAUUCUUAGAUCAAUUUUUGAGCAUUUUCUUUGGGGUUUUUGAGCUCUUGAAGAUCGUAAGAACUUGAAGAAAACAUCAUAUUUUCAUCUAGAUUCUUGUUGAAUGUUUGGUGUUUCUAAACCCUUUCUAUUUUGUUUAAGCUUAGGGGUCGUUUGAUAUGCAGCUGAUCGGGUCAGGUCAGCACUUUUGGCUGACUCAGUCCGAUCAAACUGUUUGAUAAAAGGCUAAUCACGUCUGACCCGGUCCAAUAUUCUGAUUCGGUCCUGAGUAUUUGUCUUACUGGGUCCAUGGAAAAAAUGAGGCUGACCGAACGUUUCCCCAUUUUGCCCUGAUGAAUGUUCAAUCGUGAACGACAACCUCCAUCGUUUCUCCUCUACCGCUUCUGUCUUCAUCGAGUUUUCCACCAUUCUGCCAUCGUCGGCGCCUUCUUCACCAUGAUUCUUCCUGGGACUUCUUCCAUCUCCGGCGUUUCAUUGGGCAUGAUCUUGAAAUACACUGUCUAACUAUGUCACUUGGUUCAUUUUACAUUAAGGAAAAUGCUGUAAUUUUGGUUUGAUUAUAAAAAUGAUGUUUGAAUGUUGAUUUAGUCUUUUUUUUUAUAUGUUUAUGUGUUGUAUAGAUUUGGGUUCU